GGAGGGUGCAAGCGUUGUUCGGAAUUAUUGGGCGUAAAGAGCGUGUAGGCGGUCCGGUAAGUCAGAUGUGAAAGCCCUGGGCUCAACCCAGGAAGUGCAUUUGAAACUACCAGACUUGAGUACGGGAGAGGAGGGGGAAUUCCCGGUGUAGAGGUGAAAUUCGUAGAUAUCGGGAGGAAUACCAGUGGCGAAGGCGCCCCUCUGGACCGAUACUGACGCUGAGACGCGAAAGCGUGGGGAGCAAACAGGAUUAGAUACCCUGGGUAGUCCACGCCGUAAACGAUGAGCACUAGGUGUAGCGGGUAUUGACCCCCCCUGCUGUGCCGUAGCUAACGCAUUAAGUGCUCCGCCUGGGGGACUACGGUCGCAAGACUA
Molecule: ribosomal RNA, 375 nt
Filed under: uncultured organism
Description: partial 16S ribosomal RNA
Rfam family: Bacterial small subunit ribosomal RNA
Source: RNAcentral